AUCUAAAACAAUUCUGAAGGACUUAUGAUGAAAAAUGCUAUCCAUCUCUAUUGAAAGAACUGGUGGUAUUUGAAUGCAAAUCAAGAAUACUUUUAAAAACUUUGCUUUUUUUGUUGCCAUUCACUUUCACAGCAUAGCUAAUAUAGAAAUAUGUUUUGUGUGACUGCCUCUGUAUAAUAUAUAUCAAAUUGCUUUCCUUCUCAGAGAAGGAGUUGAGGAAAGAAGGAGAGAUAAUUUGGAUCACAAAACUCUAAAAAAUGAAUGUCAAAAUUAUUUUCAUAUGCACUUGGGAAAAACAUAAAAUUAAAAAAUACCGUCCAUGAAUUUUCUAAUCAUUUCCUAUCUUUCUCUUCUUCAGAUAUCUUGAAAAUUAGUUCUCUGAAAAUGGAAAACAGUAUGGCAGAAAUGAGACAGAGACUGUCACCUCAUGCCAUAUACCAAGGAAUGAAAUGAAAAACAAAUCAGCUUGGCAGAAAAAGGUGAGUCAGCUAGUAUAUGAGAGCAAGUUCCCUCUCUUCAAUGUGGCUGGAUUGGAGCACUCGGGAAUAUCCUGUUUUGAGAAAGUCAUUUUGUAUCCUAAGUCCAUCCCCUCUCUGGCAGGAGGUAGGUAGCAUCCUUAUUUUCAAUCUUUUGGAAUUAUGGUUGGUUAAUGGUGCAUCUUAAUAUGUGUCUGUAAUAUGAGUCUGGAACCUAGAAAAUCUAGAGGAAGGAAUAGCUAACAUCCAUUAGUGUCUCUCUUUAAAAACAAUAUUUUAAGUAAGCCUUGGUUAAAUGCUGGAUCAUCAACUCAUGAUUGAAUUCUUGGAUAAGCACCUGAAGUGGUUGUAUUCUUUGUUGUUGAUUAAAGGGUGAUUGUGCUUUUGCUGUAGCAAGCUUUUGGGAGGAGGAGAUGUCAUCCUAUGGGAAAAAUAUCAGAGCUUGACAUACUGUGACAGAGAGUGAAGAGUAGCAACCUUAUGCUAUGAUCAUUUUUUUCCCUCAGCAGAAGAGAUCUUGCUUAUUAUGGAUGUGGAUUAUAUCUCAGCUCAACUCACAGGUUUAAGAUUCUAGAAUGUGCUAGAAAAAUGAACCAAGUGCAGUGGAUUCAAAGGCCAAUGUGAAAUAGUCCCUGCUUACAAGCAGCUUAUGUUCUUUGACAUAUAACAUUGAUUUGAGGGGUGGGGAAGAAGCCCAAUGAGGUUCAUAGGAAAGUGCUGAUGAUGUGAUGCCAGUGAUUUAGAGACUUCCCUAGGAAGCUGCUAGCUACUUCUGAGAACAGCUGAGAUGAUACUGGCUGACUAGAUAGUUAUUUCUACCUAGGGCUGCCAUAGGAAGCAUAUUUGAGGAAAUUUGAAUGUGUUGCAUACUUAAUGGGCUCUUCUGAGUUCUUUGUAGCUUUUUCCUCAUCCUAUAUGAGUGAGGAAAUGAAGACUGUCCUUUAUCUGAGAUAUAUAUAUAUAUAUAUAUAUGUGUG
Molecule: long non-coding RNA, 1453 nt
Filed under: Monodelphis domestica (gray short-tailed opossum)
Lineage: Eukaryota; Metazoa; Chordata; Mammalia; Didelphimorphia; Didelphidae
Description: lncRNA (ENSMODG00000044028.1)
Source: RNAcentral